Molecule: long non-coding RNA, 1342 nt
Filed under: Homo sapiens (human)
Lineage: Eukaryota; Metazoa; Chordata; Mammalia; Primates; Hominidae
Description: long intergenic non-protein coding RNA 1643
Source: RNAcentral
AGUGUCAGAAACAGGCAGCCUGACUAGAGAACAAACUACCAAUUAACGAGCGAGGAAACAGGGCCAGAGAAUUGGAACAAAAUACAAGGCUGCCUCUGAAAGGAAUAUCUUUGUGCUGAUGUGUCCAUCAAGAGAACAUACACAGAAGUGACACUUGCCAGUAAUUUGCAAGCAGAUGGAACUUCAAUAUGGCAAUAGAGAAAGAAUCAAUUAGACCAGAGUCUCCUCAGGAAGACUUUCUAUAGGUGGACGGUCCCCUGGAGAGCCCGCUGUGUUGGAAGAUGUAGAAUAUUCAUAUAUCUGGUGAGCAUCUGCUAGAUGCCAGGGUUGGGGAGAGUCAAGUUGAAGCAAGCAUGAACCCUCAAGGACCUACCAUUUCAAGGCAAGAAAUAGAUACAAAUACAGUUGAGAGCCAUCUGUGAAGUUAAUUUCAGCACUGUUUACUCUUUCCUCCUAAAUCACUAAUGAAGAUGAAACAUUCAAUGGAAUUGAGCUUUGCACCCCUUUCUGGGAAAUUCCACCGAGGCUUGCUCUUGUUUCAGCGUAAUUAUCUCUCCAAUUAAAGAGCAACCAAGGGACAACUGAACUGGAGGUUCUGCAGAAUUACAACUAAGCACGCAGCCGAGGAAUCUACUCAGCUUUGAUCUCUUAUCGCUCUGCACACACAGCCCUUUCUCUGUAAGGCUAGCUGCUCUCAGCAUCACUGUGUCUAAUCAAACGUGUCACACCUCCACUGAGAAAAUAUUUACUGGAUAGCUACUAGACAUAAGGAUGCAGAAAUGAAUUAGAAAAAUUCCUCGCCCUUGUUCAAAGCUAUGCUGGCUCUUAGAACAUCUGAGCCCCCACUGUUUCAUCUUUAGAGGAUCCCAGCUGCUGGGGUGUGAGGCCAGUGCUGGAGCCAGCAGUCUCUGACCCAGAAGGGACCUGAGGUGCUAAAGAAAAGGGUACAAGCUGGAAAAGGGGAAAAUGAAUCAUGCUACAGGCCAAGUGUCCAUCACUGAUUCCCAGAGAUGCCCUUUGUGUGGUAGGCACUUCCAUGUGGACUCGCUACAGAGGUCAUAAGACCCUAAUUCCAGAGGGCCCUACCCUAUAACCAGAAGGAAGAACUAUUGCACAGAGAAUCUAAGAAGAAUCUAGACAGACAGCCCUUGCUGGAUUUCUCCACUCUGUUAGCAUUCGAUCAUUUGCCUUUUGUCCAGUCAUAUUUCUGCAUGGCUGUCCAUACUUUGUUGAACCUAAGCACAAAAUGGAAAGUUUUCCCUGUAUCUUUGGGUCGUCAUUCUGAAGGCUCCCAUGUUAUGUAAAACUAUGAUCAAAUAAAUAUGCAUGCCUUUUCUCCUAU